Long non-coding RNA from Megalobrama amblycephala (Wuchang bream), 1018 nucleotides. RefSeq lists it as uncharacterized. NCBI's taxonomy places the organism in Eukaryota, Metazoa, Chordata, Actinopteri, Cypriniformes, Xenocyprididae. The record is from RefSeq and is a predicted model, not a curated record. The transcript is spliced from 2 exons.
GCUUUCAGUGUUUUCUUAGAGAGUCUGGGGAAUUAGUUGUUGACUUCCAUGGUCAAAUUGGUCAGAAAGGGAAUUACUCAGAGGUGAGAUUGACUCUCAUUAAACAAUUGACCCUUAUUUGUGCCAAUUUUCGCAAGGCACCGCUGCAGAGGUUGGGGCAGGAAUCAGCCAGGUUCAUCCAUCAGGUUUAUGGACGGUGGCAGGGGCUCCUUAUGCUCAAUGUAGUGGAAAGCAAGGCUUUAUUACCUCUGCCUUCUCACGGAGAGAGAUGAAGACAGAAACAACUGUGACAGAGUAUAGAAUUUCCAAGGCUGAUGGUCAUGGCUGAUGCGUCAAUAUAACUCCGUAUGUUCCUGAAAUCUGUUGUUGCGCCAAAGGACUGCAGCCAUAGCGCAGACAAGGAUGGUGUCCUUCACAAAACAAUCCCUGUCUGCUCGAUUUUAUCAGCUCCACAAAAUGGCGUCGGCAAAUUAUUCAUGACAGGGAUUGCCAGCCAGGCCGACUGAUAACAAACCUGUCAGGAGGGUUCACAAGGGAUAUGAAUCCAGCGCUGGCGGAGAAAUGAUGUGUUCAGUGGAGGAAUAUGGAGACUGACAUGAGCUGCACACCGGCUUAGUGACAGAUGAUUUGUUACACCGUGCGCUAAAUGGAAGUCGCCACAACGGCUGAUUAGGUCUUAUCAGGGCCGUUUCGAGCGAGCAACUUUUUCAUUUCACCUCUCUCCAAGGAGCCACCAUCAAAAGAGAUCACAGAGGUUUCCUGGGCGAGCCUGUCAGCUCAAGGUGAAGCCGAAUGGGGGAGGAUAACAGGGAUGAGGAAAUAAACUGCUGUCUCAGAUAACAUUAAUGCUCAAGCUUCACGGCUGACAGUUACCUGAUAAAACAUUAUCUCAGCCAAUGAGAGACAGAACAGGACAAACACGUCCCCCCACACGCAGUUUUUCUAAUACAUUUGGCCAGAUUACAGCAAACCGCUAUUCAUCUGUGGGUCAUGCUGCAGCUCUGUAGAUUCUUUUUCU